UACAGAGGGGCAAGCGUUGUUCGGAAUUACUGGGCGUAAAGGGCGCGUAGGCGGCCAACUAAGUCCGACGUGAAUCCCCAGGCUUAACCUGGGAACUGCGUCGGAUACUGGAUGGCUUGAAUUCGGGAGAGGGAUGCAGAAUUCCAGGUGUGGCGGUGAAAUGCGUAGAUAUCUGGAGGAAUACCGGUGGCGAAGGCGGCAUCCUGGACCGACAUUGACGCUGAUGAGCGAAAGCUAGGGAGC
This 243-nucleotide ribosomal RNA is filed under the name uncultured bacterium. Its description in RNAcentral is "partial 16S ribosomal RNA". It matches the Rfam family "Bacterial small subunit ribosomal RNA", at positions 524 to 769 of the family's 1533-position model. The record is from RNAcentral.